GCCUUUAGCAACACAAGUAUUAAAGGUCCUGCCUGCCCAGUGAAAUAUUUUAAACGGCCGCGGUAUUCUAACCGUGCAAAGGUAGCGUAAUCAUUUGUCUUCCAAAUAAAGACCAGUAUGAACGGCUAAAUGAGGACAAACCUGUCUCCUGCAACCAAUCAGUGAAACUGAUCCCCCAGUCCAAAAGCUGGGAUAUAAACAUAAGACGAGAAGACCCUGUGGAGCUUAAAACCUCCAUACUACGACCACCAUAGUACAAAAUUUUUAAGUUGGGGCGACUUCGGAAUAAAAAAAAACUUCCGAGCACAGAAUCAAAAAUUCGAAACCAGGGCAAACAAGCCUAAGAAAAAAAUUGACCCAGUCAUACUGAUCAACGAACCAAGUUACCCCAGGGAUAACAGCGCUAUCUUCUUCAAGAGUCCAUAUCGACAAGAAGGUUUACGACCUCGAUGUUGGAUCAGGGCACCCCAAUGGUGCAGCCGCUAUUAAAGGUUCGUUUGUUCAACGAUUAACAGCC
This 517-nucleotide ribosomal RNA is filed under the name Coeranoscincus reticulatus. RNAcentral's name for it is "partial 16S ribosomal RNA". It matches the Rfam family "Bacterial large subunit ribosomal RNA", at positions 1818 to 2595 of the family's 2925-position model. The record is from RNAcentral. Lineage: Eukaryota; Metazoa; Chordata; Lepidosauria; Squamata; Scincidae.